UCUCCAUGCUGAGUUAGGUCAACAAAAAUUGGGCCACCAUUGCAACUUCUCAUUGUGGUCGGGGGGAGAAAGGAAACUAUUACACCACCUUACAUCCCAGCUAGCACGGUCAUGUUUUCAAUAGACUUCGUUUUGUACGCUUUUAUAAAACUUUACUUUACAAUUAUUCUAACUUCUAUGCAGUAUACUGUAUAAGGCGACUUUCUGCAUGGAUAGCAGAUUUCCCCCAUUUUUUGUUUGACAAGGGCACGGUUCGAUCUCAGUCUAAUUCAUCUCCUGCAACUGCAUCUCGUCACCAUCUUUUGUGUCCUGAAAAUCAAAGCAAAAAUAGUAGCUGGAUUCUGCGUCGAAUCUAUAGGGAGAAUGUGGGAGGGAAAACGUUCUCUAAAUCAAACCUUCAGACUUUUAAGACAAGGGAAGUC
Paramuricea clavata is the source of this 422-nucleotide non-coding RNA. Lineage: Eukaryota; Metazoa; Cnidaria; Anthozoa; Malacalcyonacea; Plexauridae. The record is from the annotation of a GenBank genome assembly.